This 447-nucleotide ribosomal RNA is filed under the name Triticum aestivum (bread wheat). RNAcentral describes it as "partial small subunit ribosomal RNA". The record is from RNAcentral. Lineage: Eukaryota; Viridiplantae; Streptophyta; Magnoliopsida; Poales; Poaceae.
AUGGUGGAGAGAUCCACCAAGCUCUCGAUGGACCAGGCUUGUUGCUUGUACUGCCUGGGGAUGACGCGGAGAAACUUGAGAAUCACCAUCUUGUUGUCGAUGGGAUCUCCGAGCGUUGCGAGCUUGGUGACGAGACCUUACAACCACAAAGCAAAGUCGUCGACUUGUUCACCGGCCUUGAACCGGAUCUCCUCGUACUGGAGGCGCAAGGUCUGGGCCUUCGACUCCCGUAUGCGCUCCACGCCGAUGCGCAGAGUCUUGAUGGUGUCCCAUACUUCCUUGGCCGUCUUCUUGGCGCCAAGGGUGAGCACCAUCUCCCGUGGGACGGAGCGCAAGAUCACCUCCAUCGCCAGCCAGUCCUCGUACUCGACAUCGCCGGUUUCCACGGCUUUCCACAUAUGCCGCGCCUCCAUGAUGACUUUCAUCAGGAGCGACCAAGUGGGGUAG